This 1554-nucleotide ribosomal RNA is filed under the name Escherichia coli. RNAcentral's name for it is "bacterial SSU rRNA". It matches the Rfam family "Bacterial small subunit ribosomal RNA". Lineage: Bacteria; Pseudomonadati; Pseudomonadota; Gammaproteobacteria; Enterobacterales; Enterobacteriaceae. The record is from RNAcentral.
AAAUUGAAGAGUUUGAUCAUGGCUCAGAUUGAACGCUGGCGGCAGGCCUAACACAUGCAAGUCGAACGGUAACAGAAAGCAGCUUGCUGCUUUGCUGACGAGUGGCGGACGGGUGAGUAAUGUCUGGGAAACUGCCUGAUGGAGGGGGAUAACUACUGGAAACGGUAGCUAAUACCGCAUAACGUCGCAAGACCAAAGAGGGGGACCUUCGGGCCUCUUGCCAUCGGAUGUGCCCAGAUGGGAUUAGCUAGUAGGUGGGGUAACGGCUCACCUAGGCGACGAUCCCUAGCUGGUCUGAGAGGAUGACCAGCCACACUGGAACUGAGACACGGUCCAGACUCCUACGGGAGGCAGCAGUGGGGAAUAUUGCACAAUGGGCGCAAGCCUGAUGCAGCCAUGCCGCGUGUAUGAAGAAGGCCUUCGGGUUGUAAAGUACUUUCAGCGGGGAGGAAGGGAGUAAAGUUAAUACCUUUGCUCAUUGACGUUACCCGCAGAAGAAGCACCGGCUAACUCCGUGCCAGCAGCCGCGGUAAUACGGAGGGUGCAAGCGUUAAUCGGAAUUACUGGGCGUAAAGCGCACGCAGGCGGUUUGUUAAGUCAGAUGUGAAAUCCCCGGGCUCAACCUGGGAACUGCAUCUGAUACUGGCAAGCUUGAGUCUCGUAGAGGGGGGUAGAAUUCCAGGUGUAGCGGUGAAAUGCGUAGAGAUCUGGAGGAAUACCGGUGGCGAAGGCGGCCCCCUGGACGAAGACUGACGCUCAGGUGCGAAAGCGUGGGGAGCAAACAGGAUUAGAUACCCUGGUAGUCCACGCCGUAAACGAUGUCGACUUGGAGGUUGUGCCCUUGAGGCGUGGCUUCCGGAGCUAACGCGUUAAGUCGACCGCCUGGGGAGUACGGCCGCAAGGUUAAAACUCAAAUGAAUUGACGGGGGCCCGCACAAGCGGUGGAGCAUGUGGUUUAAUUCGAUGCAACGCGAAGAACCUUACCUGGUCUUGACAUCCACGGAAGUUUUCAGAGAUGAGAAUGUGCCUUCGGGAACCGUGAGACAGGUGCUGCAUGGCUGUCGUCAGCUCGUGUUGUGAAAUGUUGGGUUAAGUCCCGCAACGAGCGCAACCCUUAUCCUUUGUUGCCAGCGGUCCGGCCGGGAACUCAAAGGAGACUGCCAGUGAUAAACUGGAGGAAGGUGGGGAUGACGUCAAGUCAUCAUGGCCCUUACGACCAGGGCUACACACGUGCUACAAUGGCGCAUACAAAGAGAAGCGACCUCGCGAGAGCAAGCGGACCUCAUAAAGUGCGUCGUAGUCCGGAUUGGAGUCUGCAACUCGACUCCAUGAAGUCGGAAUCGCUAGUAAUCGUGGAUCAGAAUGCCACGGUGAAUACGUUCCCGGGCCUUGUACACACCGCCCGUCACACCAUGGGAGUGGGUUGCAAAAGAAGUAGGUAGCUUAACCUUAGGGAGGGCGCUUACCACUUUGUGAUUCAUGACUGGGGUGAAGUCGUAACAAGGUAACCGUAGGGGAACCUGCGGUUGGAUCACCUCCUUACCUUAAAGAAGC